This 61-nucleotide transfer RNA is filed under the name Undinula vulgaris. RNAcentral describes it as "tRNA-Lys". The record is from RNAcentral. Lineage: Eukaryota; Metazoa; Arthropoda; Copepoda; Calanoida; Calanidae.
GGAUGAAGUAAUCAAUUGAUAUAAGAUUUUUAAUCUUAGUAUAGGAGUAUCCUCUCAUCUA